CUGUGAAGACAUCUUGUGUUUCUUACAACAUAUUUAUUCGUAAGCGAUACAUAAUCCAUUCACUAAAUAAAUACAUUCUGCUUCUUGUGUGUGGAUGUUGGAGCUACUUUUCUGGAAGGACUGCUUUAGGAAAUAUGUUUUUCUAGGAAGGUUAGAGUAUCAGAGGAUACCCUCUAGAAUUUUCUAGACUACACCACUGGAUGGACAUUGUCAAUAACAAUACUCAGGUAGACUGUGUUGUUGGAACCAUGAGGAAUUGGUACGAUGGGACCAAAGUGUGCAGAGAAAACAUCCCCCACAUUAUGACACCGCCACCAGCAUCCUGCACCGUUGAUACAAGGCAGGAUGAUCCAUGCUUUCAUGUUGUUGAAGCAAAAUUCUGACCCUACCAUCUGAAUGUGGCAGCAGAAAUAGAGACUCAUCAGACCACACAGUUUGUCCAAUCUUUUAUUGUCCAGUUUUGGUGAGUCUGUGUGAAUUGUAGCCUCAAGUUUCCCGUUCUUAACUAACAGGAGUGAUGGACUCGUGGGCCUAAUAAAGUGGCCAGUAAGUCUGGAUUGGCUACAUUCAAUGCUUUGUAUUUUUGGUCAGUUCCACAUUCACUAUAACUGAUUAAAACAGCACCCAUACAUUUCUGACUGUCAAUCUCAUUGCUCCAUCCUUCUUUUAUUUGUGAGUAAGUCACCAAGGCACUUUAAAUUCUCCACUUAUGUCAUGAGCUCCAUACCCACCCAGUCAAGGGAAACCACCUUUUUCUGAAGAGCAAUGGCUUUUGACUUGGAGAUGUGUAUUCUUAUUCCAGCUACUUCACACUCGACUGCAAACUUCCAAAGUGUGGCAGUGUCAAUAAAGGCAGUUGCUGUUUGGUCUGCCCCCACCUUUCAGCUGUGUUGGGGUCCCUCUUGCCAGCCAUCUCAUUAAGACUUUUUUUUUUUCCCCAGCUUGACAACAUUAUUUUUUACUGGUAAGCACCACUGGGAUUCGCAUUCCAUCAGAGAAUUUGUUUUAUUUGGGUUUCAAAUAAUAUUGGCACCAGUGUAGCUCCUUAGCCCUGCACAUCUCUGGAAAGCAGCUCUGUUCUUGUUGACGACAGGGAAUUCUGUCGGACCUUUUCUUGAAGCUUCUGUCCCUGUUUUCAUUCUAAUAUUGCAUCCAUACACCCUUUAAUCAUUUUGGAGUGAGUUUGUGCUAUUAGCAUCUGUGCGCACUCUACUUUCAGUUCGUAUAUUUCUCGUGACCACGUCACUCAUUCUGUCGGGUAACUUGUGUCAGAAGUUUUGUUUUGUCUCGUAGUGCCGCUUGAUAUCGGCGCUCUUAACAAAAGCAGCAGACUCCAUGCUUAUAAUACAAACCGGCCUGUAGAACUCACUGCUGAUAAAUAAAAGCAAAAGCUUCGGUCCACUCAUCUCCAAAGACAUGAUUUUCAGUCCACUUUUCUAAUUGUAGAUUGAGCCAUUGUUCACGCACAUUCCAGAUAACUGUACGUCCCAACUACGUAAACAUUAGCACACCACUUUGAACUUUCGCCGGUUGAAGGACCCCUGUCUGAACGUAGCUGUCCUCGCGUGCGCCUGUUCAAAAAUCGCAGUGUAAAAUCCUACUUUUUAUUAAAAAUGCUUGGCGGUCCGGAUAAAAGGGUCUCGGGGUCUGGACCCGGACGCGGUCCGUCAGUUGGGGACCCCUCCAUUAAACUGUUCUUCAACAACAAAGAAAGUUUAAUACAGUUUGUCAGAAACAAAUUACCAAAGGCAUCUGAUUAAGGAUGCAACACCCAGCAACCCUUCAUUUCUCCUGUAACAAGAAGAUCUUCUCUUUUGAUGAAGUGGAGAAUUCCAUAAGUGUCGUCAAUGCCAUGAUUGAAGCACCAUGUGAGUACACAUCAGGAGAGAAAUGAGAAAAGUGUGCUUAUGGAUGAACAUUUAUUUCUCUUGAUUAUUCACUUAAUAAGUGUCAGGGCUCUGCCACUCCUGACUCAGCUCUGACUGUCACUAAUCACCAUAUUGCCUUUACCUGCGCUCUCCCCUUUAUAUUGCUCUGCUCUCCACCUGCCCUCUGCCAGAACGUUGUCAGUCCUCUGCUAUGCCUGCUCUGCUCAAGCUUCAAGUUUGCCUCCCUGCCCAGCUCUGCCAAGCUCAGCUCUGAUCAACCUUCAAGUCUGCCUGCCUGCCCAGCUCUGCUCAGCUCAGCUCAGCUCUACUCAACCUUCAAGUUUGCCUGCCUGCCCAGCUCUGCCCAGCUCUGCCCAGCUCUGCUCAGCUCAGCUCUGCUCAACCUUCAAGUUUGCCUGUCUGCCCAGCUCUGCCUCCAAAUCAGCCAGCCCUGCCCCGUCCAAACUGUCUGCUCUGCCUAGAUCCUGCUGCCCUGCGCUAUCUGCCCAGCCUGAGAUAUCCGCUCCGUGCUGCCCUUCCCCAUGUGAAGACUCAAGACCUGUUCCUGUUCUGCCAUCCUGACAAUAAACCUGUUCUUAUCUCUACA
Long non-coding RNA from Oryzias melastigma (Indian medaka), 2475 nucleotides. RefSeq lists it as uncharacterized. The transcript is spliced from 2 exons. Lineage: Eukaryota; Metazoa; Chordata; Actinopteri; Beloniformes; Adrianichthyidae. The record is from RefSeq and is a predicted model, not a curated record.